Molecule: ribosomal RNA, 353 nt
Filed under: uncultured Synergistaceae bacterium
Lineage: Bacteria; Thermotogati; Synergistota; Synergistia; Synergistales; Synergistaceae
Description: bacterial SSU rRNA
Rfam family: Bacterial small subunit ribosomal RNA
Source: RNAcentral
ACAGGUGCUGCAUGGCGUGUCGUCAGCUCGUGUCGUGAGAUGUUGGGUUAAGGUCCCGCAACGAGCGCAACCCCUCGCAUUCAGUUGCCAUCGGGUGAAGCCGGGCACUCUGGAAGGACUGCCAUCGACAAGAUGGAGGAAGGUGGGGACGACGUCAAGUCAUCAUGGCCCUUAUGUCCAGGGCGACACACGUGCUACAAUGGCCGGCACAACGGGAAGCGAGUUCGCGAGGACGAGCGGAUCCCUUAAAGCCGGUCGCAGUUCGGAUUGAAGUCUGCAACUCGACUUCAUGAAGCUGGAAUCGCUAGUAAUCGCAGAUCAGCCAAGCUGCGGUGAAUACGUUCCCGGGCCUU